GGAUUAGAUACCCGGGUAGUCCUAGGUGUAAACGCUGUGAACUUGCGUGUCGAGGAGUCCGCAAUGGGCCCCCGGUGCCGGAGUGAAGAUGUUAAGUUCACUGCCUGGGGAGUACGGUCGCAAGGCUGAAACUUAAAGGAAUUGGCGGGGGAGCACUGCAACGCGAGGAGCGUGCGGUUUAAUUGGACUCAAC
RNAcentral lists this ribosomal RNA (193 nucleotides) under uncultured Candidatus Poseidoniales archaeon. Its description in RNAcentral is "partial 16S ribosomal RNA". It matches the Rfam family "Archaeal small subunit ribosomal RNA", at positions 726 to 916 of the family's 1478-position model. The record is from RNAcentral. Lineage: Archaea; Methanobacteriati; Thermoplasmatota; Candidatus Poseidoniia; Candidatus Poseidoniales.